CGCUUUCUGAUUAUCAUCGGUGUCGCUUUGAUCGUGCUUUGCGAUUUGGGUGCCGAUGGGCAGCGGCGUCUUCGUGGAGAUAUUUCGCUCGGUUUCUUCCUCCUCUCCGUUCUGUCCGCGUGUCCAUCACCGCAUCAUGAUUCCGUCUCGGAGCAGCAGCGGAGGCUAUGUCCCGGCAUCCUCUUUCCCAACCGUCGAGGAGGACUGCCGCGGCUCUUUCCAUGGGGGCCUCCGAGAUGUUGACCGGGUUCUUGCACCGGCGGCUGCCUGAGAGGGACGCCCAGAGAUACAUGGCCUUGAAUUGGACCAUCACCAGCAUCUGAUCCUCUUCGUGGUGGCCAUGAGGUAGGGCGUCGUCGAGACCCAGUCCCGCAAGUUGCAGUUCACCUGAUUCGAUUGGUUCUUUAUUAUUUUGUACACAAGCAGACACGUUCCCAUGAUGAAGUUGAGUAUAUAUGCACAAGCCUCACCUUACGUGAGAGGAAUUGUGUACCAUAUGGUGUGGAUACGACUCAAGGGUCACUAUAUCUGUUGGUUAUGUAAGUGCAUAUGGACUACAAAAGCUUACUGAACCUGAUGGAACGAAGCCGCUCUGGCAGAGCUGUAAUGUUGUGGCUGUUUUGAGAUUCAUAGGUCUAAGGAGGAUAGAUGAGGAGGGAAAGGAUUUCGAGCUGUGAGUUGCAACACUCAACCGUAGCAAAACCAUUUGUAGUUUCAGUGUAAGACUGAAUUCUGAUGAUGCUUAGCUCUAUUGAAGCCUUAAAAAGGGGAAAAGGGUUAUAGAUCUAUUGAGAUUUGAGCUUUUCUUAUUAAAAAAAAAAGAUGUGUUCCAAAACUGUUCCGAGUUCCUAGAGAACUCUCCGAGAGCUACUCAUUUUGCUUUUGGUGUUUCGCUGUGACUAUCACUGUACUACCAAUAUAAAUUCAAAUUGGAUCUGAUUAUUGUUUAUCUCAAGUU
Molecule: long non-coding RNA, 958 nt
Organism: Triticum aestivum (bread wheat)
Lineage: Eukaryota; Viridiplantae; Streptophyta; Magnoliopsida; Poales; Poaceae
Exons: 4
Source: RefSeq, a predicted model, not a curated record